This 250-nucleotide ribosomal RNA is filed under the name uncultured bacterium. RNAcentral describes it as "partial 16S ribosomal RNA". It matches the Rfam family "Bacterial small subunit ribosomal RNA", at positions 526 to 779 of the family's 1533-position model. The record is from RNAcentral.
CGUAGGGUGCAAACGUUAAUCGGAAUUACUGGGGCGUAAAGCGUGCGCAGGCGGUUUUGUAAGACAGAGGUGAAAUCCCCGGGCUCAACCUGGGAACUGCCUUUGUGACUGCAAGGCUGGAGUGCGGCAGAGGGGAUGGAAUUCCGCGUGUAGCAGUGAAAUGCGUAGAUAUGCGGAGGACACCGAUGGCGAAGGCAAUCCCCGGGCUGCACUGACGCUCAUGCACGAAAGCGUGGGAGCAAACAGGAUU